GCACUUCUUCCUCCCGCUCCAAUGCAGAGACUGAGAUCAACUUCCUGAUGAAGCAGGCCCUGACCAUCGUAGCCACCCUGCCUUUCACCUACAUGCUGGAGGAGUGGAGGUGGCAGGUCUUCCUGGGGACCAUCCCCAAGGACCAGUGGAUGCAGCGCUGGUGGGAGAUGAAGAGGGAUAUGGUCGGUGUAGUGGAGCCCUUACCCAGAGAUGAGACAUACUGUGACCCGCCUGCACUGUUCCACGUGUCCGGAGACUACUCCUUCAUCAGAUACUUCACCAGGAC
Oncorhynchus masou masou (cherry salmon) is the source of this 286-nucleotide long non-coding RNA. RefSeq lists it as uncharacterized. NCBI's taxonomy places the organism in Eukaryota, Metazoa, Chordata, Actinopteri, Salmoniformes, Salmonidae. The record is from RefSeq and is a predicted model, not a curated record. The transcript has 3 exons.